RNAcentral lists this ribosomal RNA (143 nucleotides) under uncultured eukaryote. Its description in RNAcentral is "partial 18S ribosomal RNA". It matches the Rfam family "Eukaryotic small subunit ribosomal RNA", at positions 1299 to 1458 of the family's 1831-position model. The record is from RNAcentral.
UGGUGGAGCGAUUUGUCUGGUCAAUUCCGAUAACGAACGAGACUCUAGCCUACUAAAUAGUUCGGGGACCCCCACAGAGGGGCCCCGCUUCAACUUCUUAGAGGGACAGGUGGCGUUUAGCCACACGAGAUUGAGCAAUAACA